CCUACGGGAGGCAGCAGUGAGGAAUAUUGGUCAAUGGGCGAGAGCCUGAACCAGCCAAGUCGCGUGAAGGAUGACGGCCCUACGGGUUGUAAACUUCUUUUGUCAGGGAGCAAUUGGGUCCACGCGUGGGCUUAGCGAGAGUACCUGAAGAACAAGCAUCGGCUAACUCCGUACCAGCAGCCGCGGUAAUACGGAGGAUGCGGGCGUUAUCCGGAUUUAUUGGGUUUAAAGGGUGCGUAGGCGGAAUAUCAAGUCAGCGGUAAAAAUUCGGGGCGAAACCCCGUCGUGCAGGUGAAACUGAUUUUCUUGAGUGUGCGAGAAGUAAGCGGAAUGCGUGGUGUAGCGGUGAAAUGCAUAGAUAUCACGAAGAACUCCGAUGGCGAAGGCAGCAUACCGGCGCCCAACUGACGCUGAAGCACGAAAGCGUGGGUAUCGAACAGGAUUAGAUACCCGGGUAGUC
Molecule: ribosomal RNA, 460 nt
Filed under: uncultured bacterium
Lineage: Bacteria
Description: partial 16S ribosomal RNA
Rfam family: Bacterial small subunit ribosomal RNA
Source: RNAcentral